RNAcentral lists this ribosomal RNA (433 nucleotides) under uncultured bacterium. RNAcentral describes it as "partial 16S ribosomal RNA". It matches the Rfam family "Bacterial small subunit ribosomal RNA", at positions 29 to 507 of the family's 1533-position model. The record is from RNAcentral.
AACGAACGCUGGCGGCAUGCCUAACACAUGCAAGUCGAACGAGACCUUCGGGUCUAGUGGCGAACGUGUGCGUAACGCGUGGGAACCUGCCCUUAGGUUCGGAAUAACUCCCCGAAAGGGGUGCUAAUACCGGAUAAUGUCUUCGGACCAAAGAUUUAUCGCCUUUGGAUGGGCCCGCGUUGGAUUAGCUAGUUGGUAGGGUAAAAGCCUACCAAGGCGACGAUCCAUAGCUGGUCUGAGAGGAUGAUCAGCCACACUGGGACUGAGACACGGCCCAGACUCCUACGGGAGGCAGCAGUGGGGAAUAUUGGACAAUGGGCGAAAGCCUGAUCCAGCAAUGCCGCGUGAGUGAUGAAGGCCUUAGGGUUGUAAAGCUCUUUUACCCGGGAUGAUAAUGACAGUACCGGGAGAAUAAGCUCCGGCUAACUCCGUG